UCGAGAAUAUUUCGCAAUGGGCGCAAGCCUGACGAAGCGACGCCGUGUGGAUGAAGAAGGCCUUCGGGUUGUAAAAUCCUGUCAUCUGGGAGCAAAUAGUUUGGAUGAAUAAUCUGAGCUAAUGAGAGUACCAGAGAAGGAAGCACUGGCUAACUCCGUGCCAGCAGCUGCGGUAAUACGGAGGGUGCAAGCGUUAGUCGGAAUAACUGGGCGUAAAGGGUGCGUAGGCGGGUUUAUAAGUUAGAUGUGAAAUUACUAGGCUCAACCUAGUAGCAGCAUAUAAAACUAUAAAUCUAGAGGAAUGGUGGGGAAAACGGAAUUCCACGUGUAGCGGUGAAAUGCGUAGAUAUGUGGAAGAACACCUGUGGCGAAAGCGGUUUUCUAGCCUACUCCAGACGCUGAGGCACGAAAGCAAGGGGAUCAAACA
This 427-nucleotide ribosomal RNA is filed under the name uncultured prokaryote. RNAcentral describes it as "bacterial SSU rRNA". It matches the Rfam family "Bacterial small subunit ribosomal RNA", at positions 355 to 774 of the family's 1533-position model. The record is from RNAcentral.